This is a long non-coding RNA of Oncorhynchus tshawytscha (Chinook salmon), 633 nucleotides long. The record is from Ensembl. Lineage: Eukaryota; Metazoa; Chordata; Actinopteri; Salmoniformes; Salmonidae.
CUCUGUCACACCUGUUGCAUUUUUCGGCCACACGGGGCGCUGUCGACUGCGUGAAAACUUGUGCAGGGAAAUUUGUGACAGGACUGGAGACCACAGCAGCGAUUCUGCUCUUGCCCAACCUCUUCAAAGAGGAGCCAAGUGGCCUUUAUGUCCGUGACAAGAUUUCACCGCUCUUCACUCCUUUACUGCACAUCGGCGGAAAUCCAUUUCACCAUGAGAGUGAAAUCCCACUGGCCUUUGAUGGGGAGAACAUCCACACCCUCGAGGACGUCCCCAUGGGACUUGGGGCUCUGCUAGGGCUGUAUUUUUUUAUUUUCCCUUAAAUUUCCAAAAAUGUCAGAAAAACACUUAUGUUGUUAAGUUACUGUGUUCUGGGGAAAAGAGAAGUUGGGUGAAGUUACCAGGGCAGGUCAUAAAGAUGGCAAACUUCCUAACACAACUAAGUGGAUACGAUAUACACACUAAAGCUGAAAAAUCUUUAUUUAGCAUCAAGUCUACAAUGUUGUUAGUUUACCUAUGAUUAAUUUUUAAUAUAUGUUGUUUUUAUUGUACAUCAUUAUUAUUAUUUUAAAUGUCAUGAAAUGCACUUUACAAAGUAAUUUUAUUAUUUAAUAUGGUCUGACAUGUCUGCAG